This 371-nucleotide ribosomal RNA is filed under the name uncultured organism. Its description in RNAcentral is "bacterial SSU rRNA". It matches the Rfam family "Bacterial small subunit ribosomal RNA", at positions 526 to 896 of the family's 1533-position model. The record is from RNAcentral.
CGUAGGGUGCGAGCGUUAAUCGGAAUUACUGGGCGUAAAGCGUGCGCAGGCGGUUUUGUAAGCCAGAUGUGAAAUCCCCGGGCUUAACCUGGGAAUGGCAUUUGGGACUGCAAGGCUGGAGUGCGGCAGAGGAGACUGGAAUUCCUGGUGUAGCAGUGAAAUGCGUAGAUAUCAGGAGGAACACCGAUGGCGAAGGCAGGUCUCUGGGCUGACACUGACGCUCAUGCACGAAAGCGUGGGGAGCAAACAGGAUUAGAUACCCUGGUAGUCCACGCCCUUAACGAUGUCGACUGGUUGUUGGGGGUUUGACACUCUCAGUAACGAAGCUAACGCGUGAAGUCGACCGCCUGGGGAGUACGGCCGCAAGGUUA